GACGAACGCUGGCGGCGUGCCUAAUACAUGCAAGUAGAACGCUGAAGCUUGGUGCUUGCACCGAGCGGAUGAGUUGCGAACGGGUGAGUAACGCGUAGGUAACCUGCCUGGUAGCGGGGGAUAACUAUUGGAAACGAUAGCUAAUACCGCAUAAAAUGGAUUAUCGCAUGAUAAUCCAUUAGAAAGGUGACAAAUGCAUC
Molecule: ribosomal RNA, 200 nt
Filed under: uncultured bacterium
Lineage: Bacteria
Description: partial 16S ribosomal RNA
Rfam family: Bacterial small subunit ribosomal RNA
Source: RNAcentral